CCUACGGGAGGCAGCAGUGGGGAAUAUUGCACAAUGGGGGAAACCCUGAUGCAGCGACGCCGCGUGAGUGAAGAAGUAUUUCGGUACGUAAAGCUCUAUCAGCAGGGAAGAAAAAAAGUCCUUUGGACUUUGGACGGUACCUGACUAAGAAGCCCCGGCUAACUACGUGCCAGCAGCCGCGGUAAUACGUAGGGGGCAAGCGUUAUCCGGAUUUACUGGGUGUUAAGGGAGCGUAGACGGCAGCGCAAGUCUGGAGGGAAAUGCCGGGGCCCAACCCCGGAACUGCUUUGGAAACUGUGGAGCUGGAGUGGAGGAGAGGUAAGCGGAAUGCGUGGUGUAGCGGUGAAAUGCGUAGAUAUUAGGAGGAACACCAGUGGCGAAGGCAGCUUACUGGACUGUAACUGACGUUGAGGCUCGAAAGCGUGGGGAGCAAACAGGAUUAGAUACCCCGGUAGUC
Molecule: ribosomal RNA, 457 nt
Filed under: uncultured bacterium
Lineage: Bacteria
Description: partial 16S ribosomal RNA
Rfam family: Bacterial small subunit ribosomal RNA
Source: RNAcentral